RNAcentral lists this ribosomal RNA (255 nucleotides) under uncultured bacterium. Its description in RNAcentral is "partial 16S ribosomal RNA". It matches the Rfam family "Bacterial small subunit ribosomal RNA", at positions 524 to 777 of the family's 1533-position model. The record is from RNAcentral.
UACGUAGGGGGCAAGCGUUGUCCGGAUUUAUUGGGCGUAAAGAGCUCGUAGGUGGUUCGGUAAGUCGGAUGUGAAAUCUCCAGGCUCAACCUGGAGGGGUCAUUCGAUACUGCCGUGACUAGAGGUCGGUAGGGGAGUGUGGAAUUCCCGGUGUAGCGGUGAAAUGCGCAGAUAUCGGGAGGAACACCAAUGGCGAAGGCAGCUCGCUGGGACGUUACUGACGCUGAGACGCGAAAGCGUGGGGAGCAAACAGGG